AGCGAACGCUGGCGGCAGGCUUAACACAUGCAAGUCGAACGGGCAUCUUCGGAUGUCAGUGGCAGACGGGUGAGUAACACGUGGGAACGUACCCUUCGGUUCGGAAUAACUCAGGGAAACUUGAGCUAAUACCGGAUGCGCCCUUUUGGGGAAAGGUUUACUGCCGAAGGAUCGGCCCGCGUCUGAUUAGCUUGUUGGUGGGGUAACGGCCUACCAAGGCGACGAUCAGUAGCUGGUCUGAGAGGAUGAUCAGCCACACUGGGACUGAGACACGGCCCAGACUCCUACGGGAGGCAGCAGUGGGGAAUAUUGGACAAUGGGCGCAAGCCUGAUCCAGCCAUGCCGCGUGAGUGAUGAAGGCCUUAGGGUUGUAAAGCUCUUUUGUCCGGGACGAUAAUGACGGUACCGGAAGAAUAAGCCCCGGCUAACUUCGUG
Molecule: ribosomal RNA, 435 nt
Filed under: uncultured bacterium
Lineage: Bacteria
Description: partial 16S ribosomal RNA
Rfam family: Bacterial small subunit ribosomal RNA
Source: RNAcentral